Long non-coding RNA from Platichthys flesus (European flounder), 728 nucleotides. RefSeq lists it as uncharacterized. The transcript has 4 exons. Lineage: Eukaryota; Metazoa; Chordata; Actinopteri; Pleuronectiformes; Pleuronectidae. The record is from RefSeq and is a predicted model, not a curated record.
CAUCGUCCUCUUCCUUCUUGAGAGGAAAUGGAUGGAAUUCACUCUCCACAGAACCGACAGCGUGAUGUCGUCCUCCUUCAGAGAAUCUCCGGAAAUCUCAAAGUCCUGCUGCGGGCGAACGAACCUCGAGAUCCUCGUCCGGACUCCACCUGAAAACUGAAGACGUGAAAACCAUCACACCUCCAAGAAACUGCUGAGGCAACAGUUACUUCAGUUCAUAACUUUGGUCACAGGAGUCGUGGAGCAUCAUUCAACACUUCAUGAAACCACUCUGGUGGAACAUGGACGACUUCAUCGUCUUUACAUCCUCGUCACUCAUGGUCGAUUGGAGCAGAAGGACAGUGGACCUCAGUCUGUCUCCUCUCAGAACGCAAAGAGACAGGAGGAGAAUCCCUUGUUCUUAAACCUGCAGAGGAGCGUCCUGGCUGCCAGCGUCCCAGUGGAGACGGCUGAUGUAUAUUUGAUGAGCCGGUGCUGGGGACCCUCUGGAGGGCUGCGACCACAGCAGGACAAUGAGCCUCACUCAGGUUUCCUGAUGCUCUUUUUUUUUGUUGGUGGAGUCGGUGAGUCAAGGGCUGAAGUUUCAGCUGAGCAGCAGCCGCAGAGGCAGAGUUUCAGGGGAUCAUAAUCAAGCGCUUGUAAUUAUGAGAAGAGCAGAGGGAGCUGCUCCUCAUCACGGAGGAGGAAGGGAACCAAUUAAUCAAUUAAAGUUUAAAUCAGCCAAUCAA